AACGAACGCUGGCGGCAGGCCUAACACAUGCAAGUCGAACGCCGUAGCAAUACGGAGUGGCAGACGGGUGAGUAACACGUGGGAACGUACCCUUCGGUUCGGGAUAACUCAGGGAAACUUGAGCUAAUACCGGAUACGUCCGAGAGGAGAAAGAUUUAUUGCCGAGGGAUCGGCCCGCGUCUGAUUAGCUUGUUGGUGAGGUAACGGCUCACCAAGGCGACGAUCAGUAGCUGGUCNGAGAGGAUGAUCAGCCACAUUGGGACUGAGACACGGCCCAAACUCCUACGGGUGGCAGCAGUCGAGAAUUUUUCAC
RNAcentral lists this ribosomal RNA (313 nucleotides) under uncultured bacterium. Its description in RNAcentral is "bacterial SSU rRNA". It matches the Rfam family "Bacterial small subunit ribosomal RNA", at positions 29 to 369 of the family's 1533-position model. The record is from RNAcentral.